AGUGAACGCUGGCGGUAGGCCUAACACAUGCAAGUCGAACGGCAGCACAGUAAGAGCUUGCUCUUACGGGUGGCGAGUGGCGGACGGGUGAGGAAUACAUCGGAAUCUACUUUUUCGUGGGGGAUAACGUAGGGAAACUUACGCUAAUACCGCAUACGACCUACGGGUGAAAGCAGGGGAUCUUCGGACCUUGCGCGAUUGAAUGAGCCGAUGUCGGAUUAGCUAGUUGGCGGGGUAAAGGCCCACCAAGGCGACGAUCCGUAGCUGGUCUGAGAGGAUGAUCAGCCACACUGGAACUGAGACACGGUCCAGACUCCUACGGGAGGCAGCAGUGGGGAAUAUUGGAUAAUGGGCGCAAGCCUGAUCCAGCCAUACCGCGUGGGUGAAGAAGGCCUUCGGGUUGUAAAGCCCUUUUGUUGGGAAAGAAAAGCAGCAGGUUAAUACCCCGCUGUUCUGACGGUACCCAAAGAAUAAGCACCCGCUAACUUCGUG
RNAcentral lists this ribosomal RNA (492 nucleotides) under uncultured bacterium. RNAcentral's name for it is "partial 16S ribosomal RNA". It matches the Rfam family "Bacterial small subunit ribosomal RNA", at positions 29 to 507 of the family's 1533-position model. The record is from RNAcentral.